UACGGAGGGUGCAAGCGUUGUCCGGAAUCACUGGGCGUAAAGGGCGCGUAGGCGGCGUUUUAAGUCGGGGGUGAAAGCCUGUGGCUCAACCACAGAAUGGCCUUCGAUACUGGGACGCUUGAGUAUGGUAGAGGUUGGUGGAACUGCGAGUGUAGAGGUGAAAUUCGUAGAUAUUCGCAAGAACACCGGUGGCGAAGGCGGCCAACUGGACCAUUACUGACGCUGAGGCGCGAAAGCGUGGGGAGCAAACAGG
RNAcentral lists this ribosomal RNA (253 nucleotides) under uncultured bacterium. RNAcentral describes it as "partial 16S ribosomal RNA". It matches the Rfam family "Bacterial small subunit ribosomal RNA", at positions 524 to 776 of the family's 1533-position model. The record is from RNAcentral.